GUGAAGGAUUAGCGGCGAACGGGUGAGGAACACGUGAAGAAUCUGCCUUCAACUCUGGGAUAACUCCGGGAAACCGGGGCUAAUACCGGAUAUGAGCCUUGAUCGCAUGAUCGGGGCUGGAAAGUUUUUCGGUUGAAGAUGACUUCGCGGCCUAUCAGCUUGUUGGUGAGGUAAUGGCUCACCAAGGCGACGACGGGUAGCCGGCCUGAGAGGGCGACCGGCCACACUGGGACUGAGACACGGCCCAGACUCCUACGGGAGGCAGCAGUGGGGAAUAUUGGGCAAUGGACGAAAGUCUGACCCAGCGACGCCGCGUGCGGGAUGAAGGCCUUCGGGUUGUAAACCGCUUUCAGCAGGGAAUAAGCGCAAGUGAAGGUACCUGCAGAAGAAGCACCGGCUAACUAUGUGCCAGCAGCCGCGGUAAUACAUAGGGUGCAAGCGUUGUCCGGAAUUAUUGGGCGUAAAGAGCUCGUAGGUGGUUUGUUACGUCGGUUGUGAAAUUCAGGGGCUCAACCCCUGACUUGCAGCCGAUACGGGCAAGCUAGAGUUUGGUAGGGGAGACUGGAAUUCCUGGUGUAGCGGUGGAAUGCGCAGAUAUCAGGAGGAACACCGAUGGCGAAGGCAGGUCUCUGGGCCAAUACUGACACUGAGGAGCGAGAGCGUGGGGAGCGAACAGGAUUAGAUACCCUGAUAGUCCACGCCGUAAACGGUGGGCGCUAGUUGUGCGAACCUUCCACGGUUUGUGCGACGCAGCUAACGCAUUAAGCGCCCCGCCUGGGGAGUACGAUCGCAAGAUUAAAACUCAAAGGAAUUGACGGGGCCCCGCACAAGCAGCGGAGCAUGCGGCUUAAUUCGACGCUACGCGAAGAACCUUUACAAGGCUUGACAUAUACAGGAAUAUGGCAGAGAUGUCAUAG
RNAcentral lists this ribosomal RNA (917 nucleotides) under uncultured Actinomycetales bacterium. RNAcentral describes it as "bacterial SSU rRNA". It matches the Rfam family "Bacterial small subunit ribosomal RNA", at positions 84 to 1014 of the family's 1533-position model. The record is from RNAcentral. Lineage: Bacteria; Bacillati; Actinomycetota; Actinomycetes; Actinomycetales.